UACGUAGGGUGCGAGCGUUGUCCGGAAUUAUUGGGCGUAAAGGGCUCGUAGGCGGUUUGUCGCGUCGGGAGUGAAAACCUCGGGCUUAACUCGGGGCUUGCUUUCGAUACGGGCAGACUGGAGGUAUGCAGGGGAGAACGGAAUUCCUGGUGUAGCGGUGAAAUGCGCAGAUAUCUGGAGGAACACCGGUGGCGAAGGCGGCAUCCUGGACCAACACUGACACUGAGGAGCGAAAGCCAGGGGAGCAAACGGG
RNAcentral lists this ribosomal RNA (253 nucleotides) under uncultured bacterium. RNAcentral's name for it is "partial 16S ribosomal RNA". It matches the Rfam family "Bacterial small subunit ribosomal RNA", at positions 524 to 776 of the family's 1533-position model. The record is from RNAcentral.